CCCGGCGAGCAGUCGCUGGCCAGGCGAGUGAACCCCACGAUAUCAGCGUACAGGAUGCUGCAACAGAAAUGAACAGGACGGAGCUUGGUCAGUCGCCUUCUGCAGAACUCAGGGGUGUAACUGGAAGGGAAGAAAGAAAAGCCGAAUGUUAUUCUCCAGAUGCUGCACCCUGAGCCAAGCGGAUCCAGCCAAAAGAGAGACACUGAAAGGUGCAGCGGCAGGAACCUUUCAGAAGACAAGAUGGACCAAGCACGGAGAGAACAUGAAGCAGCAGGUUACUAAUUUGCUGCAGUGCAACUGACUUCUGCAGAGUAGACUGUCAACCAGGCGUGAAGGUGAGGGAAGUAUUUCCUAGAGGCCCAGAAGAGACUUGCUGAGGUUGUUUCAAAGCUGGAAGCCACUAGCAGCUUUUGAACUAGAAGCGCCUUCUAGAAGGAGGCUGGUGGAAACUCUGCAAGGACUCAACAAGAGAUUUAUUUUCAAGUCUUGGUAUUUCCUCUGUUUCAUCAGCAAUUCUGAGUUUUCCUUGGUUGUGCUGUAAAUAAAACCAAAUUUUUUCUGGCAGCUAUUCUACCCAAGGACCUGUAUGAGUCAUGCUCCGUCAUACCAAGUGUGGUUUAAAGUUUGAAUGAACUCUCCCAACGAUCCUGCAAAGCUAAGCCUUUGCAGCUAUGCCUACUCCUGUAUGGAUUGCAGCCCACGCCAUGAGCAAAUUCUGGAAGUUAUUUGGGGGCAUAAGGUUGCUUGCUAUCUGGUUGAGAGAAACCAGUUGCAGAAGCUCAUCCCUUAGCUCAUAACAACUGCUGUUCGAAGAACGACACUGCACAUACACAAGGCAAUUCUUACUCAACGCCUAACAGAUAAAGCUCUGUACCUUAUCUGUCUGGUGUGCUAUCAGUUCCUCUGCCAUCCUCCUGCAUCCUUUUUCCUUGGGUAGUCUCCAAAGUAGCGUGGCACUUUGGUCUGAGGCUGUGUGCUGAAAUACUGAGAGCUGUUGCAGUACAACCAGUCCAUCUUCCUUUGGCAAGCCUACAUCCCUUCCAGCAGGGCAAAAUUCAUCGGAUUCAGAACAGUAGUGGCCACCCAGACCAGUCACCUCACAUCUUCCAGCAUAACUUCUUCAAAGUUUGUUUUUCUCUUAACAUCAAGGGGAAGGUGACAUUUUGACAACAACUUCCUCUGCUGGUUUCAGCUAACUUUCCUCAUCUAUAGAUUCACAUUUGCAUUCUUCAUGUGCUUGUUUCUGGUAUCUAACAGCAGCACAUCGAAAGGACGACUCCCCAGAUGUACUUUUUCCGUUCAAGUGGUACAGAAAUCCAACAGCAUAUGCAAUAUGGUAUUUUAAUUGUUUCAGCUUCCAGUGCAGAAGAACAGAGUAAACAGAAAGGAACAAAAUGCGGCCCAGGAGGAACUGGAAGACCAUCAGUAAAUAAUAUUUCCUCGGUGCGAUACAGGAAACAGCAAGGAAAAAUGGAUGUGCCAGCUGGCCAGAUUUAAAAUACCUUAAAUUACCUAAAUCUGAUGGUUUUGCCUUUUUUAAAAAAUGGUCAACAAGAAAGCAUGGGGCUACAUGAAAACCUGGGGCCCAAGCUACACGGCAAGAUGUAGCAGUAAACAGAGUUGUUAUUUUCAAACACGAGCCAGAAACAUUUUUAUGAAGAAGCAAGGAAAAUGCCUGCUGUGAAUUUUACAGUAACAAUUGGCCCUACCCUCAAUGUCAUUUCAUAAACAAAUAUAUCUGGCUACAGUAAAGCGAGAAAAAAACCAGCAAACCUGCACCUUAUGAAUUCCAGUAAAAUUACUCUUUCAGCAUUCUUUUCAUCUUCUAGAAAUAUACAUAAACUACCAUCUGUAUACUUGCAUACUCAGGCUUUAUUUUAUACAUGAAUAGAGAUCUAAAAAUAUCUCACAAAACAAAUCAAAUUUAUUUACAGAUUUACUUUUGGUAACAUAAAGCUCACUGUAAAAGCUGACAGAUCUCCAUGCUGUGGUGUACUAUGCAACACUAAAGCACUUCUGUGAAUAACAGUGAAGAUUAGUGGAACACACUCCAACAACAAAUUACUGUUUCUGGGACUUGUACAUAUUUUAUGGUUGAUAAGAACCUUUCACUCAAAUCUUUACUUUUUGGAGUAUUGCAGAAAGCUACUUUAAAAAUAAUCCAAGCAUAGAAGAAAAUUAAGGGGACAUAAGAGGGAUUUAAAAAAAAAAAAAAAAUCUAAAUGAGGAAAACUAAUCAAAUUAAAAAUAGUUGAUCAUGCAGACAUUUGUCCUGUCCCAUGACCGCUUACUUUCUUCGAGACCCCUCUGUGAGGGAUCUUCGCCUUCCAGAAAUCCAGGCAGGCCAUAUCAAGUGGAUCAUUCUCACCCACAGGAUGGCUGAAACCUUCAGAGAAUUCUUAGUUUUUUCUCUACAAAAGCCGUCUUGACUUUUCCUCCAUACCUCACCCUCACCCACAUGUGCAGUGAUCUUAUAUUCUACUUCCACUAAUGUGCCCAAAACAGACACGGGGAUUCCAAGGCGGCAGUCUUCUGGUCUGCCCGGGAGCUCUGCCAAAACUGGCCUCGCAGUCGCCUCCCUCCUGUCCUGCAGCACCAGCACAACCCUUGGGGAGAUUCCACCUAAGCGACAGCAGCAGCAUUUCACCUGUUUCAUUCCCGAGUUUCUCUAAAUCUCUCUGCUGAACACACAGAUACCAGGAUUUAUUACGACUUCUUUUAUUUAGUCUACCUGUUCCUUGACCUCUCCUCCUCACACUUCACCUCAAGAUAAAUGCUGUAAUGAGUCUUUCAUAAAUGUGGGAAAACCCUUUCUUCCACAAUGAAUGCAGAAACAUAAAAUAAAUUAUUUACUAGAUUUACUAUGGGGAGUCACAUGGCAUAGUUCCUGAAUAUGAACUUACUCUGAAAAGGCAAAUCAGUUCAUUUCUGUACAGUUAAAAAAGUAUUUCAUGCUUUGUUCUAAUCAGCUAUAAUAACAUUUCUUUUUUCAAUGAUAAUUUGCCAAAAAGAUAAAAAGUAUCUUUUUAAUUUUUCAAAUUUCUCAGCAUCCCCUUUCAUAUAAGCAAAAUUUCAAAUGUUUUUGCAGUUAUUUAAAAUUACUCUAUUACCAUUUUGCAUUCACAAUAACAAGAUAACAAACAUUAAAAAUUUAUUAAAUUAAAUGAC
Tyto alba (common barn owl) is the source of this 3168-nucleotide long non-coding RNA. RefSeq lists it as uncharacterized. The record is from RefSeq and is a predicted model, not a curated record. The transcript is spliced from 2 exons. NCBI's taxonomy places the organism in Eukaryota, Metazoa, Chordata, Aves, Strigiformes, Tytonidae.